RNAcentral lists this long non-coding RNA (351 nucleotides) under Felis catus (domestic cat). RNAcentral's name for it is "lncRNA (ENSFCAG00000042822.2)". Lineage: Eukaryota; Metazoa; Chordata; Mammalia; Carnivora; Felidae. The record is from RNAcentral.
AUGGCAAGAUGGUCCAGAAGCUCUCCAUAUCACAUCCUCUUGGGUGGCAAGGAGACAAUAUUUCUUACUGAUAAUUCCUGCUCAAAUCUGGGAAUCCUUUCUGAUAGAAACAACUCUGCAGGAUUCAGUGCUCUGAUUAACCAGGCCUGGUUGGGAAGUACAGCUGGGCAGAGACUGAUGUACAAGGAGCCUUCCGUACUCCCAUCAGAAAUCAAGGUCAAACAAGUGUUUAUGGCGAUUUCACCUUUCAACUACUGUUCAGCAGUAAUUCAAUCAGGUAUGAGUGAGAUCAGUUUGUCUUCACCAAAUCACUUUUCGGUGCCAAGGUACCCACUGAGACAGCAGAAUUAA